This 75-nucleotide transfer RNA is filed under the name Mycolicibacterium hippocampi. RNAcentral's name for it is "tRNA-Thr". It matches the Rfam family "tRNA". Rfam says of the family: Transfer RNA (tRNA) molecules are approximately 80 nucleotides in length. Their secondary structure includes four short double-helical elements and three loops (D, anti-codon, and T loops). Further hydrogen bonds mediate the characteristic L-shaped molecular structure. tRNAs have two regions of fundamental functional importance: the anti-codon, which is responsible for specific mRNA codon recognition, and the 3' end, to which the tRNAs corresponding amino acid is attached (by aminoacyl-tRNA synthetases). tRNAs cope with the degeneracy of the genetic code in two manners: having more than one tRNA (with a specific anti-codon) for a particular amino acid; and 'wobble' base-pairing, i.e. permitting non-standard base-pairing at the 3rd anti-codon position. The record is from RNAcentral. Lineage: Bacteria; Bacillati; Actinomycetota; Actinomycetes; Mycobacteriales; Mycobacteriaceae. RNAcentral also lists the same sequence under 1 other name.
GCCUCCUUAGCUCAGCGGUAGAGCAACGCACUUGUAAUGCGUAGGUCAUCGGUUCAAUCCCGAUAGGAGGCUCCA